CCGUCUGCCAUGGCGGGUGGGUGAAAGACCCGAGCUAACAUGGGGUUAGUUCGUUAAAUUACAAUAAAGCCUCGUGCAGUUUGCAGCAAGCUCUCGAAUCCGCCUGGUGAUUGGGGUGACCGCGAACCUGGCCUGAGACCCCGGAUACUUGAGUUUUCGGGGGUCUAACAUUUUGGGGGCUCGUCCGGGAUUUGCGACCACCCUUCACCUGAGUGGAUUCGAUCUUGGAGGUUUCUGCUUCUGGCUGACAUCUGAGUAUCAGUUGCGGACUACAGGCUGUUCUAAGUAGACUGCGAGCCCUGGACUUGCUGUGGAUGUGAACCAGUCAGCUGAUGUGGACACCCCCUGUCUCUACAACAGUGUCUGCUAACCAGAAGCCCCUGAUGAAUUCCCCAUUGCCUAAAUUCCUUUUUGCUUUUGACUAGCAUUUCAACCUUCUGGGGUCCCUAACUUCGUCCCAAAGUCAGCAGGAAGCAGUUUGGAAAAGAAUUUCGCCGUCCAUUUUCCCUGGUUAAAAUGCUAAGUCAAAGGGAACUCCCUUGCAUGGGGAUGCCAGUAUCUAUCACUCCCUGAUGGGGAUGCUAGAGAGACAGCAAUUCCAUGAUUGGAAUUUACAAAAAAGAAAAUGGGGGAAUGAAGGAACCAGCUCCCUUUUGGCAGCCAUUACAGCCGAACACAUGCUUGCCAUAAACCUGCCUUGGUCACGUAGAGGUCAGAUGCCUGUCUCGUGACAAGGAACCCAUCAGAAGUUAGUCACUAGAAAGUCAGAUGCCUGUUUCAUGACAAGGAGCCAAUCGGAAGUUAGCUGGUGGCGCUAUGCUUUACGACCCUGGGUGUGCUUUACGGACAAGCGCACAGCAAUGACGUAGAGAGCAUAGCAACCACCCUGGGAGGGCCUAUGAGCCAUAACAACCAGUUGACCAAUCAACACAGGGCAAGCCCUCCAAGCCUGGAGGCACACCAAUCAUGAGCCUGUGCGUAAGCCUGUGCGUACCCCUAGACACUCCCCUUACGCUGCCCUAUAAGAUCUUUGGGGAGACCUUAGGAGCCGUCUUUUUCUAGCCGUCU
This 1068-nucleotide long non-coding RNA is filed under the name Cricetulus griseus (Chinese hamster). RNAcentral's name for it is "lncRNA (ENSCGRG00015035649.1)". The record is from RNAcentral. Lineage: Eukaryota; Metazoa; Chordata; Mammalia; Rodentia; Cricetidae.